RNAcentral lists this ribosomal RNA (624 nucleotides) under uncultured bacterium. Its description in RNAcentral is "bacterial SSU rRNA". It matches the Rfam family "Bacterial small subunit ribosomal RNA", at positions 232 to 873 of the family's 1533-position model. The record is from RNAcentral.
CGCGGCUGAUUAUGCUAGUUGGCGGGGUAAUGGCCCACCAAGGCGAAGAUCGGUAGCCGGCCUGAGAGGGCUCACGGCCACACUGGCACUGAAACACGGGCCAGACUCCUACGGGAGGCAGCAGUGGGGAAUCUUGCACAAUGGACGAAAGUCUGAUGCAGCGACGCCGCGUGAGCGAUGAAGCCCUUCGGGGUGUAAAGCUCUUUCGACGGGAAAGAUUAUGACGGUACCCGAAGAAGAAGCUGCGGCUAACUACGUGCCAGCAGCCGCGGUAAUACGUAGGCAGCAAGCGUUGUUCGGAAUUACUGGGCGUAAAGAGUGUGUAGGCGGUGCUCUAAGUCUGUUGUGAAAUCUCCCGGCUUAACCGGGAGGGUGCGGCGGAAACUGGGGUGCUUGAGGGUGGGAGAGGUAAGCGGAAUUCCUGGUGUAGCGGUGAAAUGCGUAGAUAUCAGGAGGAACACCUGUGGUGUAGACAGCUUACUGGACCACUUCUGACGCUGAGACACGAAAGCGUGGGUAGCAAACAGGAUUAGAUACCCUGGUAGUCCACGCCCUAAACGAUGCAUACUUGGUGUGAGCGAUUCAUUUCGUUCGUGCCGGAGCUAACGCGUUAAGUAUGCCGCC